This 253-nucleotide ribosomal RNA is filed under the name uncultured bacterium. RNAcentral's name for it is "partial 16S ribosomal RNA". It matches the Rfam family "Bacterial small subunit ribosomal RNA", at positions 524 to 776 of the family's 1533-position model. The record is from RNAcentral.
UACGUAGGGUGCAAGCGUUACUCGGAAUUACUGGGCGUAAAGCGUGCGCAGGCGGUUUUGUAAGGCUGUCGUGAAAUCCCCGGGCUCAACCUGGGAAUGGCGAUGGUGACUGCAAGGCUAGAGUUUGGCAGAGGGGGGUAGAAUUCCACGUGUAGCAGUGAAAUGCGUAGAUAUGUGGAGGAACACCGAUGGCGAAGGCAGCCCCCUGGGUCAAAACUGACGCUCAUGCACGAAAGCGUGGGGAGCAAACAGG